This 2012-nucleotide ribosomal RNA is filed under the name Triticum aestivum (bread wheat). Its description in RNAcentral is "partial small subunit ribosomal RNA". The record is from RNAcentral. Lineage: Eukaryota; Viridiplantae; Streptophyta; Magnoliopsida; Poales; Poaceae.
GAAACUUGUUUUUUAGGUAAGAAACCUCCCCAGAUAACGCCUCGCUGCAAUCGAGCCGCACACGCACCCGCCGCCGCCGCCAUCUCCCUUCGCAGGAGAGGCGUGGCAAAGGAGGCUCGUGCAGGGGGUGGUGGUGGUGGGAGUGGGGAGUAAGAAAGAGCAUGGAGGCGGCGGCGGCGGCUAGGAAGAGCGUGUGCGUGACCGGCGCAGGAGGCUUCAUCGCCUCGUGGCUCAUCAAGCUCCUCCUCUCCAAGGGCCACUAAAUGGUCCGCGGCACCAUGCGAGAUCCCGGUAAGGACCCUCCUCGCUUCGAUCCGUCCAUCCCAGCCCCCGAAGAUCCAGCCUCAGCUCAUGCUCGCGCUGCUCCCGCCCAACGACGCCGUCUGCGUCGAACUGAAAGCCUGCGGAGGACGGGGACGAGGUCGGGGUGGAGAUGUGGAUCGUUUUCUUUGGAUCCCCAACUGAAGAGUUUGAAGUUGUUUCUGCAGACAACCUAGAUGUCAAUGAAUGUGCGCAGAGUCCAGCCCCCUGCCAUGGCUCUGCAACUUGCCACAACACAGUUGGAGGGUUCCAUUGUUCAUGCCCUUUUGUCACCAGUUUUGCUAAGGAAACAAACUCCUGCGCCAAUCAGUUUACAAGUCAGGAGUUGAGCAGGGCACAAUCUGUGGCAGGACCGCACUCUCCUACUCAUUUGUCUCAAAGCAAAAGAAGCUUGCUGCCUUUGCCUGGAGAGAGUAGAAGUUUCUUUUAUCUAAUCCAAGAUGAUCUAUUCAUGAUUAAAACAGCGAGGAAAUCAGAAGUUGAGUUCUACUAAUUGAAGCCGGUGAGUUGGUGUAUGCUUGAAGUGAGUCUGGUUCUUGCUUCAAUUUCCCCUGUUUCACCUCCAGAUCUACUCAUUGGGAGAUGGAUUCCUUGCAGUGAGAGGCUGGUCUGACGCUGUUGUUGAUAAUCAUCCAUUCCUAUUCUGGACGUGGACGAAGUACACACAUGUACACGCAGCUCUUUUUGAUCCGUUGCAUAUCAAAGCUUCAUUCAGACGAUGGACUGUCUUGCUCUACUUCGAAAUCGAAACAGGGGAAAGACAGGCAGCUGCUGCAGAACAAGGGAAGGAGUAUCAGCUAUCUGUUGUUUCAGUUAUUUAUGUGUGCUGAAGAUUGUUCAUACCCGUACCCUGAAGAAAGAAGACACAAGAUAGAUUGUAGAUAUACCUGGAAUAUGUUCAUCCGGGUUCAGUUAAUAAGUGCAUUAGUCAACAUUGUGGUGCAAUGACAGAAUCUGCUGUCCACAACUUCACCUGCCAUAUCCUUAAGGGUCUUGCUUUCCUACAGAGCCAAAAAAUUAUGCAUAGAUUUGGAAAUAGGUUUAAAGGAAAGAUUUAGAAGUAACUGUGGUGAUCCAGGACGCUUUCAAGAUUACAAGUUCAGUAGUGGCAACUUGAACUUAUGUAAGAAUAAACAGAAUGAUUUUUCAUCUUGAAGAGUUUCCUAACUGUUGACUUUAAGCCUUCAAAGUUACUCCUUUCGUAAACUAAUAUAAGAGCGUUUAGAUCACUAAAGUAGUGAUCUAAAUACUCUUAUAUUAGUUUACAGAGGGAGUACAUCGUGGGAUUAUGAAUAAGAUGGUGCUAAUUAUAUUUUGAGUGAAUUUCUGGUGUGUAUUAUUCAGAAUUUCAGACUGGCCCUUGAACUAAAUAAAGAGAAGUCAAAUUUUGUUUCUUUGCUGCUCCUGUCUGUCUCUGACAAGCACUGAUGCACCACCAAUGUAAUAAGUUCUUGAACGAUUCAAGAGGACUAUGAACCAUGGAUAAAUGCAACAACAAGGUUAGUACGCACAGGCAUGCAAAGGAGGCGCGCCCCUGCCCCUAGUAAAAGAUUGUAGGUGAUUGCUCUAUAGUAGAUAGUAAAAAAUGGAUGUCCAACAAGUUAUUCGAAUUCAACGAUUGAGUCAGAAUCGACACAAGUCAUCCCACACACUGUUGCCCUUGGGCUUCAUCCAAUAAUGUACUCUCUCCG